GCGAUGGUGGUGCAGUGGUGAGCAUGGCUGCCUUCCAAGCAGUUGACCCGGGUUCGAGUCCCGGCCCCGCA
This 71-nucleotide transfer RNA is filed under the name Penaeus vannamei (Pacific white shrimp). Its description in RNAcentral is "Litopenaeus vannamei (Pacific white shrimp) tRNA". It matches the Rfam family "tRNA". From Rfam's summary of the family: Transfer RNA (tRNA) molecules are approximately 80 nucleotides in length. Their secondary structure includes four short double-helical elements and three loops (D, anti-codon, and T loops). The record is from Rfam by way of RNAcentral. Lineage: Eukaryota; Metazoa; Arthropoda; Malacostraca; Decapoda; Penaeidae.